RNAcentral lists this ribosomal RNA (468 nucleotides) under uncultured bacterium. Its description in RNAcentral is "partial 16S ribosomal RNA". It matches the Rfam family "Bacterial small subunit ribosomal RNA", at positions 28 to 507 of the family's 1533-position model. The record is from RNAcentral.
GACGAACGCUGGCGGCGUGCUUAACACAUGCAAGUCGAACGGAAAGGCCCUGCUUUUGUGGGGUGCUCGAGUGGCGAACGGGUGAGUAACACGUGAGUAACCUGCCCUUGUCUUUGGGAUAACUUCAGGAAACUGGGGCUAAUACCGGAUAGGAGCUCCUGCUGCAUGGUGUUCGUUGGAUAGUUUCGGCGGUUGGGGAUGGACUCGCGGCUUAUCAGCUUGUUGGUGGGGUAUUGGCUUACCACGGCUUUGACGGGUAGCCGGCCUGAGAGGGUGACCGGAGACAGUGGGACUGAGAUAGGGCGCAGAAGGGAACGGGAGGCAGCAGAGGGAAAUAUUGCACAAGGGGCGGAAGGAUGAUGAAGAAAAGCCGCGUGCGGGAUGACGGCCUUCGGGUUGUAAACCGCUGUAGCCUGAGAAGAAGCGUGAGUGACGGUAAUGGGUAAAGAAGCAACGGCUAACUACGUG